UACCAGCACCCCGAGUGGUCGGGACGAUUAUUGGGCCUAAAGCAUCCGUAGCCGGUCAUGCAAGUCUUCCGUUAAAUCCAGCCGCUCAACGGUUGGGCUGCGGAGGAUACUACGUGGCUAGGAGGCGGGGAGAGGCAAGCGGUACUCAGUGGGUAGGGGGUAAAAUCCUUUGAUCCAUUGAAGACCACCAGUUGGCGAAGGCGGCUUGCCAGAACGCGCUCGACGGUGAGGGAUGAAAGCUGGGGGAGCAAAGCCGG
This 257-nucleotide ribosomal RNA is filed under the name uncultured bacterium. RNAcentral's name for it is "partial 16S ribosomal RNA". It matches the Rfam family "Archaeal small subunit ribosomal RNA", at positions 474 to 728 of the family's 1478-position model. The record is from RNAcentral.